AGUCACUGACAUUAGAUACCCGGGUAGUCCAGGGUGUAAACACUGCAGACUUGGUGUUGGAGGCCCUUUGGGGGCAUUCAGUGCCGGAGAGAAGUUGUUAAGUCUGCUACUUGGGGAGUACGUCCGCAAGGAUGAAACUUAAAGGAAUUGGCGGGGGAGCACCGCAACGGGAGGAGCGUGCGGUUUAAUUGGAUUCAACACCGUAAAACUCACCAGGGAAGACUGUUACAUGAAGGCCGAGAUGAAGACUCUGCUAGAUUUUCAG
This 265-nucleotide ribosomal RNA is filed under the name uncultured archaeon. RNAcentral's name for it is "partial 16S ribosomal RNA". It matches the Rfam family "Archaeal small subunit ribosomal RNA", at positions 719 to 982 of the family's 1478-position model. The record is from RNAcentral.